This 72-nucleotide transfer RNA is filed under the name Candidatus Nomurabacteria bacterium. RNAcentral's name for it is "tRNA-Arg". It matches the Rfam family "tRNA". From Rfam's summary of the family: Transfer RNA (tRNA) molecules are approximately 80 nucleotides in length. Lineage: Bacteria; Candidatus Nomuraibacteriota. RNAcentral also lists the same sequence under 2 other names. The record is from RNAcentral.
GCUCCCGUAGUUUAAUGGAUAGAAUGCAGGUUUGCGGUACCUGCGAUUCAGGUUCGAUUCCUGGCGGGAGCA